UUCUGGGAUGCCAGUCAUCUCCACUCCUGUCACUAACUCACUGGAAAAAGCCACUGUCAGGGCAGAAAGACUGCAUGAGCACCAUGGCAAGAAUUCUUAGGAAACCCCUGUGGAAGGAUCAUUUGAACCCCAAGGAGAUCACUGCCCAUGGAUGUAUGCUGUUGGUGCUGAAGGAGAAAACUGCAUAGAAUUGUGGAGGUGCAGAGUUACCAAGAAGGCCCAGGACAGAUGUUUCCAGUGAAGACCUUCUGACGGAGAAGCUAAUGUUAUCUAAGAACACACAAGAUGGCAA
Long non-coding RNA from Onychomys torridus (southern grasshopper mouse), 292 nucleotides. RefSeq lists it as uncharacterized. The record is from RefSeq and is a predicted model, not a curated record. The transcript is spliced from 3 exons. Lineage: Eukaryota; Metazoa; Chordata; Mammalia; Rodentia; Cricetidae.